Molecule: ribosomal RNA, 601 nt
Filed under: Streptomyces sp. 15MN1
Lineage: Bacteria; Bacillati; Actinomycetota; Actinomycetes; Kitasatosporales; Streptomycetaceae
Description: bacterial SSU rRNA
Rfam family: Bacterial small subunit ribosomal RNA
Source: RNAcentral
GGGGGGUUGCGGCGUGCUUACACAUGCAAGUCGAACGAUGAAGCCCUUCGGGGUGGAUUAGUGGCGAACGGGUGAGUAACACGUGGGCAAUCUGCCCUUCACUCUGGGACAAGCCCUGGAAACGGGGUCUAAUACCGGAUAACACUUUCCCCCUCCUGGGGGAAGGUUGAAAGCUCCGGCGGUGAAGGAUGAGCCCGCGGCCUAUCAGCUAGUUGGUGGGGUAAUGGCCUACCAAGGCGACGACGGGUAGCCGGCCUGAGAGGGCGACCGGCCACACUGGGACUGAGACACGGCCCAGACUCCUACGGGAGGCAGCAGUGGGGAAUAUUGCACAAUGGGCGAAAGCCUGAUGCAGCGACGCCGCGUGAGGGAUGACGGCCUUCGGGUUGUAAACCUCUUUCAGCAGGGAAGAAGCGAAAGUGACGGUACCUGCAGAAGAAGCGCCGGCUAACUACGUGCCAGCAGCCGCGGUAAUACGUAGGGCGCAAGCGUUGUCCGGAAUUAUUGGGCGUAAAGAGCUCGUAGGCGGCUUGUCACGUCGGUUGUGAAAGCCCGGAGCUUAACUCCGGGUCUGCAGUCGAUACGGGCAAGCUAUAAUGUG